Molecule: ribosomal RNA, 483 nt
Filed under: uncultured bacterium
Lineage: Bacteria
Description: bacterial SSU rRNA
Rfam family: Bacterial small subunit ribosomal RNA
Source: RNAcentral
AAUCAACGCUGGCGGCGUGCCUAACACAUGCAAGUCGAGCGAGAAAGUGUAGCAAUACAUGAGUACAGCGGCGCACGGGUGAGUAACACGUGGGUAAUCUGCCCUAGAGUGGGGAAUAACACCGGGAAACCGGUGCUAAUACCGCAUACGAUCACGACGUUUGCGAAUGUUGUGAUGAAAGGAGCAAUUCGCUCUUGGAGGAGCCCGCGGCUGAUUAGCUAGUUGGUAAGGUAAUGGCUUACCAAGGCAACGAUCAGUAGCCGGUCUGAGAGGACGGUCGGCCACACUGGAACUGAGACACGGUCCAGACUCCUACGGGAGGCAGCAGUGGGGAAUUUUUCGCAAUGGGGGCAACCCUGACGAAGCAACGCCGCGUGGGUGAUGAAGUCUCUUGGGACGUAAAACCCUUUCGACGGGGAAGAAACCGCAAGGUUGACGGUACCCGUAGAAGAAGCCCCGGCUAACUCCGUGCCAGCCGCCGCC